GCCCCCAUAGCUCAGGUGGAGAGAGCACGGGAUUCCUAAUCCCGGUUUGCCCAGGUUCGAAUCCUGGUGGGGGCGCCA
RNAcentral lists this transfer RNA (78 nucleotides) under Thermodesulfomicrobium thermophilum DSM 16697. RNAcentral's name for it is "tRNA-Arg". It matches the Rfam family "tRNA". Rfam says of the family: Transfer RNA (tRNA) molecules are approximately 80 nucleotides in length. The record is from RNAcentral. Lineage: Bacteria; Pseudomonadati; Thermodesulfobacteriota; Desulfovibrionia; Desulfovibrionales; Desulfomicrobiaceae. RNAcentral also lists the same sequence under 1 other name.